AUGUCUGGACUGAGGAAGACCCGGAAACUUCGAGGCCACGUGAGCCAAGGCCACGGUCACAUCGGCAAGCACCUGGGAGGCCAUGGUAAUGUUGGUGGCAUGCAUCACCACAGGAUCAACUUCGACAAAUAUCACCCAGGUUACUUUGGGAAAGUUGGUAUGAGGCAUUGCCACUUAAAGAGGAACCAGAGCUUCUGCCCAACUGUCAACCUUGAUAAAUUGUGGACUUUGGUCAGUGAGCAGAUACGGGUGAAUGCUGCUAAAAACAAGACUGGAAAUGCUCCCAUCAUUGACGUGGUUCGAUUGGGCUACUACAAAAUUCUGAGAAAGGAAAAGCUCCCAAAGAAGCCUGUCAUGGUGAAGUCCAAAUUCUUCAGUAGAAAAGCUGAGAAGAUUAAGUGUGUGAGGGGAGUCUGUGUCUUGGUGGCUUGA
This is an RNA transcript of Carlito syrichta (Philippine tarsier), 432 nucleotides long. It is a transcript of the gene named 60S ribosomal protein L27a pseudogene, with no coding region annotated. NCBI's taxonomy places the organism in Eukaryota, Metazoa, Chordata, Mammalia, Primates, Tarsiidae. The record is from RefSeq and is a predicted model, not a curated record. The transcript has 2 exons.